UUAUAAGCAAUAGUCAGUGAUAGUUUGACUCCACAUCUUUCAAAGAACUUACGAGCUUCUUGUGUAUUUAAUUCUCCACGAUCUGUAGUGAUUUUUCCUACGCAUCCAUAGCGGCAAAUGACAUCUUCAAGCAAAAACCUAUAAAUCCCCUCUGUAGAUUUUAUCCUCAAUGUUCUCUUCUACUUGAUUUGAUAAAUCUUCACGAGCUAAAACCAAAUAUCUCAUCUGCCAUAACCCAACUGGCAUAGUAACCAAAUCAACAACCCAUUUAAAAUGAAUAGUUAGAGGAUACGUAGGAUGAAGACCAUCUCGAUGUCGGAUAUUAGAAUACGAUUGACAGAUUUCACAUGACUCUACAAAUGAGAGUAUAUCUCGAUACAUAUUUUUCCACCAAUAUCGUUCCUUGAGUUUAACAAAAGUAGCCUAGAUUUUUCUAUGCCUUGCCCAUAAACUAUCAUGAAACUUCUUUACUAAUUUUAGUUUUUCUUCCUUUUUGCCUAUGACUCGUUGUGGCAUUCCAAUUCCUUUCUUCGAUCUCUUCCAUAAGAAUCCAUCUCGAAGUAAAAAUCCAUAUGCUUUUUUUCUUAUUUGUUUGAAUUUUUCUGUAGACCAAUUUUUCUGCUUAGUCAAGGUAUUCAAGUAAUGACCAAUAUC
RNAcentral lists this long non-coding RNA (654 nucleotides) under Physcomitrium patens. RNAcentral's name for it is "long non-coding RNA (PPAT_LNC007584)". Lineage: Eukaryota; Viridiplantae; Streptophyta; Bryopsida; Funariales; Funariaceae. The record is from RNAcentral.